This 558-nucleotide ribosomal RNA is filed under the name Mesorhizobium sp. HRRP126. Its description in RNAcentral is "bacterial SSU rRNA". It matches the Rfam family "Bacterial small subunit ribosomal RNA", at positions 102 to 694 of the family's 1533-position model. The record is from RNAcentral. Lineage: Bacteria; Pseudomonadati; Pseudomonadota; Alphaproteobacteria; Hyphomicrobiales; Phyllobacteriaceae.
ACGGGUGAGUAACGCGUGGGAAUCUACCCAUCUCUACGGAACAACUCCGGGAAACUGGAGCUAAUACCGUAUACGUCCUUCGGGAGAAAGAUUUAUCGGAGAUGGAUGAGCCCGCGUUGGAUUAGCUAGUUGGUGGGGUAAUGGCCUACCAAGGCGACGAUCCAUAGCUGGUCUGAGAGGAUGAUCAGCCACACUGGGACUGAGACACGGCCCAGACUCCUACGGGAGGCAGCAGUGGGGAAUAUUGGACAAUGGGCGCAAGCCUGAUCCAGCCAUGCCGCGUGAGUGAUGAAGGCCCUAGGGUUGUAAAGCUCUUUCAACGGUGAAGAUAAUGACGGUAACCGUAGAAGAAGCCCCGGCUAACUUCGUGCCAGCAGCCGCGGUAAUACGAAGGGGGCUAGCGUUGUUCGGAAUUACUGGGCGUAAAGCGCACGUAGGCGGAUACUUAAGUCAGGGGUGAAAUCCCGGGGCUCAACCCCGGAACUGCCUUUGAUACUGGGUAUCUCGAGUCCGGAAGAGGUGAGUGGAAUUCCGAGUGUAGAGGUGAAAAUUCGUAGA